This is a long non-coding RNA of Gasterosteus aculeatus aculeatus (three-spined stickleback), 424 nucleotides long. The record is from Ensembl. Lineage: Eukaryota; Metazoa; Chordata; Actinopteri; Perciformes; Gasterosteidae.
UUUUGACAAAUAAAAACAAGAUUACUUAAAUGGUAAAACAAACACUAGUGGGACGAGGUGAAACGAAAUCCGUACUGAAAAGCGUGGAUUAUGGGCUCAGGCCUGUGCACAACACCUGUGGGGAGUGGCUGGAGAAUCCUUCCCAAAAUAACCCAGAAAACUCAACCCAGCAGGUUUGCAACAAGGUGGAACAGGAAAGAAAAUGACAGACCACCUGAGGCCCGAAUCUGGGAAGACCUGCCUCACCAUGAGGGGAACUGACACCUUUGCUUUUCAGCAUGCAGAAGUGGUUUUGGUACGGCUUCUCAGAACAUAACGUGAACGAUGCUUAUCUCCCAUGUCGGUAAGUGGUGGCACGCAAGGCAAGCUAAGACUUUUUGACACAUGGUCCACAUCUGAGGCGUUUUCCGAGAGCAUUGUGAUC